AGCGAACGCUGGCGGCAGGCUUAACACAUGCAAGUCGAGCGGGCACUUUCGGGUGUCAGCGGCGGACGGGUGAGUAACGCGUGGGAACGUGCCCUCUGGUUCGGAAUAACUCAGGGAAACUUGAGCUAAUACCGGAUACGCCCUUUUGGGGAAAGGCUUGCUGCCGGAGGAUCGGCCCGCGUCUGAUUAGCUAGUUGGUGAGGUAACGGCUCACCAAGGCGACGAUCAGUAGCUGGUCUGAGAGGAUGAUCAGCCACACUGUGACUGAGACACGGCCCAGACUCCUACGGGAGGCAGCAGUGGGGAAUAUUGGACAAUGGGCGCAAGCCUGAGCCAGCCAGGCCGCGUGAGUGAUGAAGGCCUUAGGGUUGUAAAGCUCUUUUAUCCGGGACGAUAAUGACGGUACCGGAGGAAUAAGCCCCGGCUAACUUCGUG
Molecule: ribosomal RNA, 435 nt
Filed under: uncultured bacterium
Lineage: Bacteria
Description: partial 16S ribosomal RNA
Rfam family: Bacterial small subunit ribosomal RNA
Source: RNAcentral